UUUCUGUGGAUGAAAAGAGCAUUCUCUCUUUAUCCCUACGUAACAAAAUAGUGACACCCCUACAUCCUUCCACCUUGCUAAAGCCUCCAGCCCAUGGGAACAUCCAGGAGGAGGAGAAAAUUUGUGAAUAAGAAAUGUCACUUAGACCUGAAUGGAAGAGAUUUGGCAAAAAAUAUAGCAUGUGUCGUCAUCUUCAGGUGAUGCAGCACUUCCAGAAAAGACAAUCACAGAGGGCUGCUAGGCAAUUUGAAGAUGUCCGUGGGGAGAUGGUAUCAAAGACACUGCGAGCUCUAAAAUUAACAUCAAAAAUGAUGUAUCCAGAAGAAAGACUUUGUACCUACAACUGCUUUCACAGCUGCAAACCUUUUCUUUUAGAACAUUUUGUGUAUCUCAUGGCUAUGUUGUUUACAGCUUUUCUGCAAGUUUUUGUUUUUCCCCAUGGAAGCAACUGAAAAAAAAAAAACCCUUAAGUGUGCAUAUCUGUUCAAGUCUGGUUGGAUGUUACCCAGAAGCUGCUGGGUAAUGGGUUUUUGAGCCUAUGCAGUAAUUGUAACUCAUCACCAGUAUGUUAUGCAAGAUUGUGCAAAUAAUGGUUCCAUUUGAAGAAUUAUAGAAUUAUCCAAUCUUGUCAUCACUAAGUAAAAUUCUAAUUCAAAAUGCUGCAGUGAAUGGUAGCCCAG
RNAcentral lists this long non-coding RNA (680 nucleotides) under Dromaius novaehollandiae (emu). Its description in RNAcentral is "lncRNA (ENSDNVG00000008767.1)". Lineage: Eukaryota; Metazoa; Chordata; Aves; Casuariiformes; Dromaiidae. The record is from RNAcentral.